GCAUGCUGGAGGUAUCAGAAGUGCGAAUGCUGACAUAAGUAACGAUAAAGCGGGUGAAAAGCCCGCUCGCCGGAAGACCAAGGGUUCCUGUCCAACGUUAAUCGGGGCAGGGUGAGUCGACCCCUAAGGCGAGGCCGAAAGGCGUAGUCGAUGGGAAACAGGUUAAUAUUCCUGUACUUGGUGUUACUGCGAAGGGGGGACGGAGAAGGCUAUGUUGGCCGGGCGACGGUUGUCCCGGUUUAAGCGUGUAGGCUGGUUUUCCAGGCAAAUCCGGAAAAUCAAGGCUGAGGCGUGAUGACGAGGCACUACGGUGCUGAAGCAACAAAUGCCCUGCUUCCAGGAAAAGCCUCUAAGCAUCAGGUAACAUCAAAUCGUACCCCAAACCGACACAGGUGGUCAGGUAGAGAAUACCAAGGCGCUUGAGAGAACUCGGGUGAAGGAACUAGGCAAAAUGGUGCCGUAACUUCGGGAGAAGGCACGCUGAUAUGUAGGUGAAGUCCCUCGCGGAUGGAGCUGAAAUCAGUCGAAGAUACCAGCUGGCUGCAACUGUUUAUUAAAAACACAGCACUGUGCAAACACGAAAGUGGACGUAUACGGUGUGACGCCUGCCCGGUGCCGGAAGGUUAAUUGAUGGGGUCAGCGCAAGCGAAGCUCUUGAUCGAAGCCCCGGUAAACGGCGGCCGUAACUAUAACGGUCCUAAGGUAGCGAAAUUCCUUGUCGGGUAAGUUCCGACCUGCACGAAUGGCGUAAUGAUGGCCAGGCUGUCUCCACCCGAGACUCAGUGAAAUUGAACUCGCUGUGAAGAUGCAGUGUACCCGCGGCAAGACGGAAAGACCCCGUGAACCUUUACUAUAGCUUGACACUGAACAUUGAGCCUUGAUGUGUAGGAUAGGUGGGAGGCUUUGAAGUGUGGACGCCAGUCUGCAUGGAGCCGACCUUGAAAUACCACCCUUUAAUGUUUGAUGUUCUAACGUGGACCCGUGAUCCGGGUUGCGGACAGUGUCUGGUGGGUAGUUUGACUGGGGCGGUCUCCUCCUAAAGAGUAACGGAGGAGCACGAAGGUUGGCUAAUCCUGGUCGGACAUCAGGAGGUUAGUGCAAUGGCAUAAGCCAGCUUGACUGCGAGCGUGACGGCGCGAGCAGGUGCGAAAGCAGGUCAUAGUGAUCCGGUGGUUCUGAAUGGAAGGGCCAUCGCUCAACGGAUAAAAGGUACUCCGGGGAUAACAGGCUGAUACCGCCCAAGAGUUCAUAUCGACGGCGGUGUUUGGCACCUCGAUGUCGGCUCAUCACAUCCUGGGGCUGAAGUAGGUCCCAAGGGUAUGGCUGUUCGCCAUUUAAAGUGGUACGCGAGCUGGGUUUAGAACGUCGUGAGACAGUUCGGUCCCUAUCUGCCGUGGGCGCUGGAGAACUGAGGGGGGCUGCUCCUAGUACGAGAGGACCGGAGUGGACGCAUCACUGGUGUUCGGGUUGUCAUGCCAAUGGCACUGCCCGGUAGCUAAAUGCGGAAGAGAUAAGUGCUGAAAGCAUCUAAGCACGAAACUUGCCCCGAGAUGAGUUCUCCCUGACCCUUUAAGGGUCCUGAAGGAACGUUGAAGACGACGACGUUGAUAGGCCGGGUGUGUAAGCGCAGCGAUGCGUUGAGCUAACCGGUACUAAUGAACCGUGAGGCUUAACCUU
Molecule: ribosomal RNA, 1677 nt
Filed under: Escherichia coli
Lineage: Bacteria; Pseudomonadati; Pseudomonadota; Gammaproteobacteria; Enterobacterales; Enterobacteriaceae
Description: partial 23S ribosomal RNA
Rfam family: Bacterial large subunit ribosomal RNA
Source: RNAcentral